GUUCUUUAAUCAGCAGUCCCCUCUCAGAGGCUUCAGAACAAAGGGGAGAGAAAAAAAAAAAAAACAAAAAACAUACCAAGACCAGGAAAUCUGUCUGUAUUUGUAUUGGAGAGCUAUGUACAUCAGUGGAGUUACAGAAAAAGAAUCAAUGACAUCUAGGAUACCAUUGAUGCUCCAUGGUCAUGUUUCAGGUGGAAUCUUAAUAUGUAUAUCAAGCUGGGAUUCAGAAGAUGCUUCCUUCUUAAUGAUGUGGAUCAGAGAGCUACAGAUCCUUGAAAAACAAUCCUGAAUGCAGCCCCCACAAGCCAGAUCUCACCCCUCCUUGGAGUCCUGGGCUUGGCCAGGGUUCUGAGGCUAGGCAGCAUUUUUUGCUUUCUCCAAAGCCUGGUCAUUGUGGACAUGGCAGUGGUAUGGCCCCUUGCUCAGAUGGGCCUUUUUUGCCCUUAUGCUUCAGCUGGGUGAAUUCAAGGCUUAAGCCUCUUUUCCCAGUCAGGCUUUUAGAGAGGUAUUCAAAAAUCAGUGGUACUACCCAUUAUUCCAGUAGGGGAGAGCCAUUCAACGUUGAUGGCUUUCAUUGUUAGAAAUCUCUGAGGCAUUCCACACCCAAGCAGAGAGAGGACAAUGUCUAGACUAGACUGUCCUCGUCAAGACAAGGCUGGUUUUCCCCACACAAAUUGGAUGUCUUAAUCCAACAUGGCGGUUACAACACGAAAGUAACAAUGAAGGUUAUAAAUCAAAAGUGUCAUUCACAAGACAAAGGAGUUUACCAUUUGGCAGAUAUAUCCCUAAUCUGUCACAUUUUAUACUAUUUUUGUGGAUCAUGAUAGACAGAGGACUAAAUUUAGAAGUCCAGUAAGAACUACACACUGGAAGAGAUGGAUUUAGAUACACUUUGAAAGGGAAAGUAGCAACGACAAAUACAAUAGGGUUAUAACAUAGUUCUGACAAAAAAAAGGUGAUGGAGAGACUGAAAAGGAAACAAACAAAAUACAUAAAAGCAUUUUCUACAAUAUAAAGAAAAAAAGAGGCAAAUGAAGACGGGAAGGUACUUUAAAAAAAAGUGUUGAUACAUAAUGUUAUAACUACAGUAUCCAAACAGACUAUACGCAGGAAUUGCUAUAUUGCAUCAGACCAGAAUCCAGAAUCUCUGAAACAUCUGGUGUCCUGGCCUCUGUCUGAGGAAGGUGCAAGACCAUCACAUAAGGCAGUCUCA
Dermochelys coriacea (leatherback sea turtle) is the source of this 1213-nucleotide long non-coding RNA. RefSeq lists it as uncharacterized. The record is from RefSeq and is a predicted model, not a curated record. The transcript has 3 exons. NCBI's taxonomy places the organism in Eukaryota, Metazoa, Chordata, Testudines, Dermochelyidae.